Molecule: ribosomal RNA, 423 nt
Filed under: Laparocerus aenescens
Lineage: Eukaryota; Metazoa; Arthropoda; Insecta; Coleoptera; Curculionidae
Description: partial 16S ribosomal RNA
Rfam family: Bacterial large subunit ribosomal RNA
Source: RNAcentral
GGUAUUUUGACCGUGCAAAGGUAGCAUAAUCAUUAGUUUUUUAAUUGAAAGCUGGUAUGAAAGGUUGGAUGAGAGAAAAGCUGUCUCUAUUUAAUUUAUCUAGAAAUUUAUUUUUAAGUUAAAAAGCUUAAAUUUGAAUAAAAGACGAGAAGACCCUAUAGAGUUUUAUUAUUUUAUUUUAAUAAAAUUAAUAGAAUUUUUUACUUUUAUAGAAUAAAAUAAUUUAGUUGGGGUGAUUGAAAAAUUUAAUAAACUUUUUUUUUACUUUUACAUUGAUUUAUGAUUAGUUGAUCCUUAAUUUAAGAUUAAAAGAUAAAAUUACCUUAGGGAUAACAGCGUAAUUUUUUUUAAGAGUUCUAAUCGAAAAAAAAGCUUGCGACCUCGAUGUUGGAUUAAAAUAAAAUUUUGGUGUAGAAGCUAAAG